UUUCCGUAGGUGAACCUGCGGAAGGAUCAUUGUCGAAACCUGCCCAGCAGAACGACCCGCGAACUUGUAUAAACAACCGGGGGCGGGGGGCGUUCUCGCCCCGUGCCCCCGAACGGCGGGGAGACACUCGUGCCUUCUUGCCGAACAACGAACCCCGGCGCGGUCUGCGCCAAGGAACUUCAACUAAAGAGUGCCUCCGGUCGCCUCGGAAACGGCGUGCGUGCCGGGGGCGAAUCUUGAGCAAAACCAUAACGACGCUCGGCAACGGAUAUCUCGGCUCUC
RNAcentral lists this unclassified non-coding RNA (282 nucleotides) under plant metagenome. RNAcentral's name for it is "partial contains small subunit ribosomal RNA, internal transcribed spacer 1, and 5.8S ribosomal RNA". The record is from RNAcentral.